Molecule: long non-coding RNA, 498 nt
Organism: Oncorhynchus masou masou (cherry salmon)
Lineage: Eukaryota; Metazoa; Chordata; Actinopteri; Salmoniformes; Salmonidae
Exons: 3
Source: RefSeq, a predicted model, not a curated record
AGGAGGAGGGAGGAGGGAGAGGGAGAGGAGAAGAAGGAGGGAGAGGAGACAGUGGAUAGGGGUGAUCUAAGUCCCCAGUGUUCUACUCCUCUGUCAGCUGAUGGGGAGGAGUUUGUGAGUGUCCUGACUGAGUUGCUGUUUGAGCUUCACGUCGCUGCCACCCCAGACAAACUCAACAAGGCCAGGAUGAGAGCGCAUGAUUGGGUGAGAGAGGUGGAGAAACCUGUCGUCGUCACAGAUACCAUCGGGGGGGCGGCGGAGGAGGAGCAAAGAGGGGAACCUGAAACAAGAGAGGGAGAAGAAGAGAAGAAAGAGGGGGAGGAGCUAAAGGAGAAGAAAGAGGGGGAGGAACUGGAGGAGAGGAAAGAGGAGGAGGAGCUAAAGGAGGAGGAGCUAAAGGAGAAGAAAGAGGGGGAGGAGAUAAAGGUGAAUGAGGAAGAGAGACAAUCCAGGUCUGUAGAGGUGAGAUCUGAUGUUGGACAGAGAACUAACUGUCUG